This 253-nucleotide ribosomal RNA is filed under the name uncultured bacterium. RNAcentral describes it as "partial 16S ribosomal RNA". It matches the Rfam family "Bacterial small subunit ribosomal RNA", at positions 524 to 776 of the family's 1533-position model. The record is from RNAcentral.
UACGUAGGUGGCAAGCGUUGUCCGGAUUUACUGGGCGUAAAGGGCGUGCAGGCGGUUUGUUAAGUCUAGGGUGAAAGCUCCCGGCUCAACUGGGAGAGGUCCUUGGAUACUGGCAGACUUGAGGAGAGUAGAGGAGAGUGGAAUUCCCGGUGUAGUGGUGAUAUGCGUAGAUAUCGGGAGGAACACCAGUGGCGAAGGCGGAUCUCUGGGCUCUACCUGACGCUGAGACGCGAAAGCGUGGGGAGCGAACCGG